Lycium barbarum (goji berry) is the source of this 2020-nucleotide RNA transcript. It is a transcript of the gene named F-box protein At3g58530, with no coding region annotated. NCBI's taxonomy places the organism in Eukaryota, Viridiplantae, Streptophyta, Magnoliopsida, Solanales, Solanaceae. The record is from RefSeq and is a predicted model, not a curated record. The transcript is spliced from 14 exons.
GGAUGACAACAAGGUCAUCACCGUAAAAAUCAUAUUUUAAUUUUUUUUAGUAAAAAAAAAAAGUGCAAAUUCAAAAAACCCUAGGCAAAAUAGUCUCCUUUCUCCCUCUCUUUCUUUUCUUCUACACUUUGCUUGCGCUCCAAGCUCCAAUUUGGCCAGCUGAGAAAUCAGACAUGGCAUGAUUGCAUAAAAUUAUAAAGAAGCUACAACAAAAGAAGAGCAUAGAAAGAGCAUUGUGGCAAUGGAGGAAAAGGCAACAACAGAAGCGGCGAUUUGGACGAAAGAAACAGUGCCAAAAGUGAUGAAAAUAGUGAGCAGUAGGCUCCCACAAAGAGACCUCAUCACUCUUCUACUUGUCAGCCGUUCGAUUCACCAUACUCUCCUUUCUCACCCCUCCCUCUGGCUGGUUCUUGAUUUUCAUGAGAUGAGUAAUGCUGGUGAUCGCCUUGUUUCAGCUCUUUCUUUGCCGAGAUAUCGCAAUGUGAAGCAUAUCAACCUUGAGUUUGCGCAGGAUAUUGAAGACAAGCAACUGGAAACUGUUAAAAGCAAGUGUGGAGAUUCCCUUUUAGAUUUGGAGGUUCUAAAUCUAAAUGGCUGUCAAAGGAUCUCUGACAAGGGAAUCGAAGUAGUGACAAUUACUUGUCCUAAACUGAAGGUCUUUUCCAUUUAUUGGAAUGUAAGGGUAACCGAUGUUGGCAUUACUCAUCUAGUGAAGAACUGCAGAUCUGUGGUAGAUUUGAACUUAAGUGGAUGCAAGAAUAUUACAGAUAAAAGUUUGCAUCUGGUUGCUGACAAUUAUCAAGAAUUGGAAUCGUUGAACAUCACUAGGUGCAUCAAGGUGACGGAUUCUGGUUUGCAGCGGAUAUGUUUGAACUGCUCUUCUCUUCAGAGUUUGAACCUUUAUGCCCUUUCCACCUUAACGGAUGAAGCUUAUAAGAAGAUAUCUCUUUUGCCUCAUCUUAAAUUCCUGGAUCUCUGUGGUGCUCAGAAUCUAACAGAUGAUGGGCUUUCUUGUAUAGCCAUGUGCAAUAACCUGGUGUCUCUCAAUUUGACAUGGUGUGUACGAGUCACUGAUGUUGGGGUCAUAGCAAUAGCUCAAGGCUGCAGGUCUCUUGCAUUUCUAAGUUUAUUUGGGAUACUUGGGGUCUCUGACAAGUGCUUGGAGGUGCUUUCUAGCUUCUGCUCCAAUACACUAACAACCCUUGAUGUAAAUGGGUGCACCAAUAUAAAGGUACAUAAUAUCUUUAGAAUCUCCAGCCACGCUAUCACCUUUAUGUCCUAGGACAUUGGCUCACAUCAAAUGUGAUAAAGUUGGAAAACAACUGGAUCGGGCUAUUAGCAAUUAAAAAGUUAAGCCUUUCUCUGACAAGUGCUUAAUCGCAGUCGUGAUCAACUGCUGAAGCUAUUCCCGAACCUGACGUGCUUCAAAGUGCAUAGCUAAGUCGUGACUUGUCAGGGAUUUCAUCUGCUCUUCCUUAGAGAAAAAGAAUGAAGGGGCAAAUUAGCUUACCUCCUCCGAAAGAUAAAACAGGGCACUUCAGCAUCCUUUAUGUGCCACUUUAUUUCAUCUUUUACUGGUGGAGAUUUAUUUAUUCCUUCAUACCCUCAUCGUUAUGGUCAUCUGUUAUGCGAUCCAGGCUGCUGUAUUUUCUACAAAUAUGUUUGAUUAGCAUGGAUCUGUGGCUAUACUGUGCUUCAUGUAGCUACACAUGUUUUAUGGAGAUUCAUGUGAAUCUUUAUAAUAAACAGAUACAUUCUCCUACGUUACCCAUUAUGUGUGUAAUCGAGACAAGGUUUGGAGAAUGUGUAUUAUUCCAUUAUGUAGCAAAGUUUAUAUACAAAUACAAUGAGCUCUAAUUAAGGAAAGAAUCAAAAGAUAUCAUAUUGUAUCGCUAUACACUACACCUAAAGGUGUCUUAUGUUCAUUUUGUAACAUUCUCCUCAAGCCGGAGCAUAGAUAUUGAUAUGGCCAGCUCGUAUUUGAAAAAAAAAAAAAAAAACUAGUUACUGCUAUUGUUGA